This 254-nucleotide ribosomal RNA is filed under the name uncultured bacterium. RNAcentral describes it as "partial 16S ribosomal RNA". It matches the Rfam family "Bacterial small subunit ribosomal RNA", at positions 524 to 776 of the family's 1533-position model. The record is from RNAcentral.
UACGUAGGGGGCGAGCGUUGUCCGGAAUUAUUGGGCGUAAAGAGCUCGUAGGCGGUUCCGUAAGUCGUGAAGUCAAAUCUCUGGGCUCAACCCAGAAUCGCUUCCGAUACUGCGGUGACUGGAGUCCGGUAGGGGAGUGUGGAAUUCCUGGUGUAGCGGUGAAAUGCGCAGAUAUCAGGAGGAACACCAACAGCGAAGGCAGCACUCUGGGCCGGUACUGACGCUGAGGAGCGAAAGCAUGGGGAGCGAACAGG